Molecule: ribosomal RNA, 202 nt
Filed under: uncultured bacterium
Lineage: Bacteria
Description: partial 16S ribosomal RNA
Rfam family: Bacterial small subunit ribosomal RNA
Source: RNAcentral
UACAGAGGGGGCAAGCGUUGUUCGGAAUUACUGGGCGUAAAGGGCGCGUAGGCGGCCUUCUAAGUCGAACGUGAAAUCCCCGGGCUCAACCCGGGAACUGCGUCCGAUACUGGAAGGCUUGAAUCCGGGAGAGGGAUGCGGAAUUCCGAGGUGUAGCGGUGAAAUGCGUAGAUAUCUGGAGGAACACCGGUGGCGAAGGCGG